GGCCGCGGGAUUGGAGGAAAGUAGGGGAUCGUAAGACCUUGCGCUUUUGGAGCGGCCGAUGUCUGAUUAGCUAGUUGGUGGGGUAAUGGCCUACCAAAGCUUCGAUCAGUAGCUGGUCUGAGAGGACGGCCAGCCACACUGGGACUGAGACACGGCCCAGACUCCUACGGGAGGCAGCAGUGGGGGAUUUUGGACAAUGGGCACAAGCCUGAUCCAGCCAUGCCGCGUGAGUGAAGAAGGCCUUCGGGUUGUAAAGCUCUUUCAGCCGGGAAGAAAAGGCUGCGACUAAUAAUCGCAGUUCAUGACGGUACCGGAAGAAGAAGCACCGGCUAACUACGUGCCAGCAGCCGCGGUAAUACAUAGGGUGCAAGCGUUAAUCGGAAUUACUGGGCGUAAAGGGUGCGCAGGCGGUUUUGUAAGUCAGAUGUGA
Molecule: ribosomal RNA, 430 nt
Filed under: uncultured ammonia-oxidizing beta proteobacterium
Lineage: Bacteria; Pseudomonadati; Pseudomonadota; Betaproteobacteria
Description: bacterial SSU rRNA
Rfam family: Bacterial small subunit ribosomal RNA
Source: RNAcentral